Molecule: long non-coding RNA, 298 nt
Filed under: Mus caroli (Ryukyu mouse)
Lineage: Eukaryota; Metazoa; Chordata; Mammalia; Rodentia; Muridae
Description: lncRNA (MGP_CAROLIEiJ_G0002622.1)
Source: RNAcentral
ACUCCAGUCAUCUUUCUAGUUCACAUGACAGAGAGAGGUCAAAACACCAACGAGGACCCCCGGGACUGGCAGGAAGAACGGAUGACGGUGGGGAAAGGCCAUGAUUCCUUGAGGAAGAAGGGAGAAGAGAAUGGUCUAAAAUGGAACCAGGUGUUCCAGAAAAGUCUAGAAGACACCUCUGGAGACAUCUGGACUAUGCAUGGUAAAACAGCAGUGUUAGCAAACAGUAGCUAUCACUACUAUUGUGGAAUGAAAGUGAUGAGAAACCAUUAAAACCCUCAUUUAAUCCACCGAGAAA